RNAcentral lists this ribosomal RNA (460 nucleotides) under uncultured bacterium. RNAcentral describes it as "partial 16S ribosomal RNA". It matches the Rfam family "Bacterial small subunit ribosomal RNA", at positions 338 to 795 of the family's 1533-position model. The record is from RNAcentral.
CCUACGGGAGGCAGCAGUGAGGAAUAUUGGUCAAUGGGCGGAAGCCUGAACCAGCCAAGUCGCGUGAGGGAUUAAGGCCCUGCGGGUCGUAAACCUCUUUUGCCGGGGAGCAGUGGUCCGGACGCGUCCGCACCGGGAGAGUACCCGGAGAAAAAGCAUCGGCUAACCCCGUGCCAGCAGCCGCGGGAAUCCGGAGGAUGCGAGCGUUAUCCGGAUUUAUGGGGUUAAAAGGGUGCGUAGGCGGGCAUUUAAGCCGGCGGUCAAAUGUCGGGGCUCAACCCCGGCCUGCCGUCGGAACUGGGUGCCUUGAGUGGGCGAGAAGUAUGCGGAAUGCGUGGUGUAGCGGUGAAAUGCAUAGAUAUCACGCAGAACCCCGAUUGCGAAGGCAGCAUACCGGCGCCCUACUGACGCUGAGGCACGAAAGUGCGGGUAUCGAACAGGAUUAGAUACCCUUGUAGUC